GAUGAAGAACGUAGCGAAAUGCGAUAAGUAGUGUGAAUUGCAGAAUUCAGUGAAUCAUCGAAUCUUUGAACGCACAUUGCGCCCCUUGGUAUUCCAUGGGGCAUGCCUGUUCGAGCGUCAUUUGUACCUUCAAGCUUUGCUUGGUGUUGGGUGUUUGUCUCGCCUUUGCGUGUAGACUCGCCUUAAAAUAAUUGGCAGCCGGCGUAUUGAUUUCGGAGCGCAGUACAUCUCGCGCUUUGCACUCAUAACGACAGCGUCCAAAAGUACAUUUUACCCUCUUGACCUCGGAUCAGGUAGGGAUACCCGCUGAACUUAAGCAUAUCAAUAAGCGGAGGA
RNAcentral lists this unclassified non-coding RNA (336 nucleotides) under soil metagenome. RNAcentral's name for it is "partial contains 5.8S ribosomal RNA, internal transcribed spacer 2, and large subunit ribosomal RNA". The stretch from base 1 to 120 matches the Rfam family "5.8S ribosomal RNA", at positions 35 to 154 of the family's 154-position model. The record is from RNAcentral.